GUCCGCUGGUGCACGUGUUUAUGAAGAUGUCUCACAAUAUAAAGAGAUUUCAGUUCUUUGUGCCACCCACAUCCUUGAGUAUGUCUCCUGAGACACACGUGGGAGUCUGUCUGGGGUAUAAAUGAGGAUGGACGUUGCCCGAAAUGCAUAUGGGCUUUUGACUUCACCCGGUUGCUUUCGGGACUAUUGUGCACAUUCAGUUCCUGGUGCAGCGUCCGUUCGUUUCUUUUAGUCAUUUCACAGCUGUUUGCUGGGAGGAGCAAGACUGAACUACUUGGGGCUGAUUUCACAAGGAAGCUGAAAACAAGGCCUUCCCAGUUCCCGUUUGUGAUUUUCAAGUCAAUAAAGCAUGUCUGUCUUGGUGGAUGUUUCUCUCUAA
RNAcentral lists this long non-coding RNA (379 nucleotides) under Rattus norvegicus (Norway rat). RNAcentral describes it as "long non-coding RNA NONRATT020329". The record is from RNAcentral. Lineage: Eukaryota; Metazoa; Chordata; Mammalia; Rodentia; Muridae.